This 320-nucleotide ribosomal RNA is filed under the name uncultured eukaryote. Its description in RNAcentral is "partial 18S ribosomal RNA". It matches the Rfam family "Eukaryotic small subunit ribosomal RNA", at positions 1470 to 1796 of the family's 1831-position model. The record is from RNAcentral.
CCCCUAGAUGUUCUGGGCCGCACGCGCGCUACACUGAACAGUUCAACAAGUCUUAACCUUGGCCGAUAGGUCUGGGUAAUCUUUGAACGCUGUUCGUGAUUGGGAUAGACCUUUGCAAUUAUGGGUCUUCAACGAGGAAUUCCUAGUAAACGCAAGUCAUCAGCUUGCAUUGAUUACGUCCCUGCCCUUUGUACACACCGCCCGUCGCACCUACCGAUUGAAUGGUCCGGUGAAAUCUCGGGACGGCUGCUUGGUCGCUUGCGUCCGACUGCUGAAACUUGAUUAAACCAUAUCAUUUAGAGGAAGGUGAAGUCGUANCA